AUUGAACGCUGGCGGAAUGCUUUACACAUGCAAGUCGAACGGCAGCACGGACUUCGGUCUGGUGGCGAGUGGCGAACGGGUGAGUAAUGUAUCGGAACGUGCCCAGUCGUGGGGGAUAACGUAGUGAAAAUUACGCUAAUACCGCAUACGAUCUAUGGAUGAAAGCGGGGGAUCGCAAGACCUCGCGCGAUUGGAGCGGCCGAGAUCAGAUUAGGUAGUUGGUGGGGUAAAGGCCCACCAAGCCAACGAUCUGUAGCUGGUCUGAGAGGACGACCAGCCACACUGGAACUGAGACAUGGUCCAGACUCCUACGGGAGGCAGCAGUGGGGAAUUUUGGACAAUGGGCGAAAGCCUGAUCCAGCCAUUCCGCGUGCAGGAUGAAGGCCCUCGGGCUGUAAACUGCUUUUGUACAGAACGAAAAGGUUUCUACUAAUACUAGGAGCUCAUGACGGUACUGUAAGAAUAAGCACCGGCUAACUACGUGCCAGCCGCCGCAGUAA
Molecule: ribosomal RNA, 500 nt
Filed under: uncultured bacterium
Lineage: Bacteria
Description: partial 16S ribosomal RNA
Rfam family: Bacterial small subunit ribosomal RNA
Source: RNAcentral